GACGAACGCUGGCGGCGUGCCUAAUACAUGCAAGUAGAACGCUGAAGGAGGAGCUUGCUUCUCUGGAUGAGUUGCGAACGGGUGAGUAACGCGUAGGUAACCUGCCUGGUAGUGGGGGAUAACUAUUGGAAACGAUAGCUAAUACCGCAUAAUAGCAGUUGUUGCAUGAUAACUGUUUGAAAGGUGCAAUUGCACCGCUACCAGAUGGACCUGCGUUGUAUUAGCUAGUUGGUGGGGUAACGGCUCACCAAGGCGACGAUACAUAGCCGACCUGAGAGGGUGAUCGGCCACACUGGGACUGAGACACGGCCCAGACUCCUACGGGAGGCAGCAGUAGGGAAUCUUCGGCAAUGGACGGAAGUCUGACCGAGCAACGCCGCGUGAGUGAAGAAGGUUUUCGGAUCGUAAAGCUCUGUUGUAAGAGAAGAACGAGUGUGAGAGUGGAAAGUUCACACUGUGACGGUAUCUUACCAGAAAGGGAUGGCUAACUACGUG
Molecule: ribosomal RNA, 495 nt
Filed under: uncultured bacterium
Lineage: Bacteria
Description: partial 16S ribosomal RNA
Rfam family: Bacterial small subunit ribosomal RNA
Source: RNAcentral